RNAcentral lists this long non-coding RNA (468 nucleotides) under Homo sapiens (human). RNAcentral's name for it is "HSALNT0265862". The record is from RNAcentral. Lineage: Eukaryota; Metazoa; Chordata; Mammalia; Primates; Hominidae.
AUUCACUGUCUCUGUCACCUGGUGAAGCUCAGGAGUCCAGGGCGGUCCUGCCUCCCAUCUAUGCAGCGAAGAGGAUCAUUCACACUGACUUUGCUGCACUUGGUAUUAACCCCACACCUCGCCCCACUGCACCAUCGAGCUGCUAAACGGCAUCUCCAGGGUCCCCUUCAUCCCCUUCCACACAAGCCUUGUGCAGCGUGUCCAUCGGAACUUUCCAAGUUCCUUCUGAGAACAUUUUAGUAACCUCAAAAAUUAUUGGAAGAUGAGAGCUCAGUUCCACCACAACCUCUCACAAUGAAGUCAAGUUGCAAAUGAAAUUCUCCCUCACAGGCAAACAUAUUUGGGCGGUCAAGCAUGAGAUGCCCAUGUGACCUGCAUGCUGCCUUGCAUGAACUCCUCCAAGGCAAAGAUGGUGCAGUGCCCAAUGGCAGCAGGCUUUGUGCAGCAUUUCCAACCAAUCCUGCUUCA